GAUCCUGGCUCAGGAUGAACGCUAGCGACAGGCUUAACACAUGCAAGUCGAGGGGCGAGCACGGUGUAGCAAUACAUUGGUGGUCGACCGGCGCACGGGUGAGUAACGCGUAUGCAACCUACCUAUCAGAGGGGAAUAACCCGGCGGAAAGUCGGACUAAUACCGCAUAAAACAGGGGUUCCACAUAGAAAUAUUUGUUAAAGAAUUAUCGCUGAUAGUAUGGGCAUGCGGUUCCAUUAGAUUAGG
RNAcentral lists this ribosomal RNA (246 nucleotides) under uncultured bacterium. RNAcentral describes it as "partial 16S ribosomal RNA". It matches the Rfam family "Bacterial small subunit ribosomal RNA", at positions 15 to 250 of the family's 1533-position model. The record is from RNAcentral.